This 497-nucleotide ribosomal RNA is filed under the name uncultured bacterium. RNAcentral describes it as "partial 16S ribosomal RNA". It matches the Rfam family "Bacterial small subunit ribosomal RNA", at positions 28 to 507 of the family's 1533-position model. The record is from RNAcentral.
GAUGAACGCUGGCGGCGUGCCUAAUACAUGCAAGUCGAGCGAACAGACGAGGCGCUUUCCUCUCUGACGUUACCGGCGGACGGGUGAUGAACACGUGGAUAACUUACCUAUAAGACUAGGAUAACUUCGGGAACCCUGAUCCAAUACCCGUCAAUAUAGUGAACGGGAUGGUUCUAUAGUGAUAGCCGUAUUUGCUGUCACUUGUACGUGUAACCUGGCCGCAUUAGCUAGUUGGUAAGGUAACGGCUUACCAAGGCGACGAUGCGUAGCUGACCUGAGAGGAUGAUCAGCCACACUGGAACUGAGACACGGUCCAGACUCCUACGGGAGGCAGCAGUGGGGAAUAUUGCACAAUGGGCGAAAGCCUGACGGAGCCACGCCGCGUGAGUGAUGAAGGUCUUCGGAUCGUAAAACUCUGUUAGUAGGGAAGAAGGACAGUGUGUGUAACUAUGCACGUCUUGACGUUACCAACAGAGUAAGCCACGGCUAACUACGUG